CCUUGAAAAUGAGAAGACUGGAUAGCUUCUGACUUCAACUAAAAUAAUAAAUAUUUGUCAUCCUCAUCAUAAACAAUUACGUUCAGUGCACAAGCAAUCACUUUCUAAGCAGGAAAAUUUGUGGAAAGUACCAAGAUUAACCAGAUUUAAUCCUUGCAAACCAAACAAAACCAGGAACAAAUCUGUACAGAAAGAAUUCUUGGGACAGACUACUAUGUCAUACAGCAAGAGCCCACCAAGGCCACCAGGCCAUGAAGAGCUGCCAGACACAGCAUUGUGGAAGUGCCCUGAAAACAAAGCAUUAGACUUCAUCAAGAACAAAAUUCUUCUUGGGUUUGCAUUUAUAAAGCUCAUUAUUGCACAGAGAAAUAAAUGUUCAAAAUAGGACUAAAUAGGUAGGAUCAGCAUAACCUAUACACCCGAUUAAAAAUGGCAAUAGACUAAAUUAAAGCAACAGACUAAGGAUAUUAGAUUAGAGGUAUGUUGAUGUUUUUAUUUUGCAAAAAACAAAAUGUUGUUUUAAGAUGAAAGCACUGAUAAAGUAUCCAGUUUAUAAAAAAGAAUUCUAAUGGUUGAAAGGAUGCAUUAUUUAUAAGGUAUUAAAUGUGUGUCUCUUCAUUCACAAUCACCCAUUCUUUUAUUGUUAAGCUAUAUAUAUAGCUUAGCAACUCCUAUAAAUGGUCCAAUAAACUGGCUUUCUUUUCCUUUAUGAAAACAUAAAAUAGCAUACAAG
Perognathus longimembris pacificus (Pacific pocket mouse) is the source of this 733-nucleotide long non-coding RNA. RefSeq lists it as uncharacterized. NCBI's taxonomy places the organism in Eukaryota, Metazoa, Chordata, Mammalia, Rodentia, Heteromyidae. The transcript has 3 exons. The record is from RefSeq and is a predicted model, not a curated record.